GUAUAGUAUUAGUUUAAAACUAAAAUGGACCAAUCCUGGAUCGCCACCUGUAUUAUCAGCCACUGAAAUAGGACAGACUUUGUCCCCUCUCUGUUUGUCUGCUCAACCCAGAGUGAAAUCAAAACACCCCAUGUAGCCCAUGGCAACCUGAUGACUCAGAGUCACGUCAUAAACAAGUAGAAUGACCACCGUGGGGGAAAACAACUGAUGUUCACCAUCUGGGACCAUUCAACAGCCUAGAUUUACCAGGUUAUUACUAAAUAAACUGUUAACCAUCUGGGACCAUUCAACAGUCUAGAUUUACCAGGUUAUUAUUAAAUAAACUGUUAACCAUCUGGGACCAUUCAACAGUCUAGAUUUACCAGGUUAUUACUAAAUAAACUGUUCACCAUCUGGGACCAUUCAACAGUCUAGAUUUACCAGGUUAUUACUAAAUAAACUGUUCACCAUCUGGGACCAUUCAACAGUCUAGAUUUACCAGGUUAUUACUAAAUAAACUGUUCGUCAUCUGG
Molecule: long non-coding RNA, 512 nt
Filed under: Salmo salar (Atlantic salmon)
Lineage: Eukaryota; Metazoa; Chordata; Actinopteri; Salmoniformes; Salmonidae
Description: lncRNA (ENSSSAG00000120664.1)
Source: RNAcentral